RNAcentral lists this transfer RNA (57 nucleotides) under Nippostrongylus brasiliensis. It matches the Rfam family "tRNA", at positions 8 to 63 of the family's 71-position model. Rfam says of the family: Transfer RNA (tRNA) molecules are approximately 80 nucleotides in length. Their secondary structure includes four short double-helical elements and three loops (D, anti-codon, and T loops). The record is from Rfam by way of RNAcentral. Lineage: Eukaryota; Metazoa; Nematoda; Chromadorea; Rhabditida; Heligmosomidae.
UGGCAUAGCGGUUAGUGCACAGCCCCGGACAGGUUGAGACGCGGGUUCGAAUCCCGC